GCUCCUUGAAGCAAGGCCAAGUCACAGACUGCAGUAGAGGAGUUUUUGCUUCCUACCUGGCCUGACAGGAAGCAGUUUGGAGCUCCUUGUGCACUCUUCCUACAGAAGUAUAAAAGAUACAAAAGCUCCUCUAAUGCAUUCCACGGCUCGGCCACGCUUCAUGCAGUGACUGGCAGCAGCACUGUAUCCUGGCCUCCCUUGCCUGUGCGUCACUGUGUUUCUAUGUCUAUGUGUGUGCAAGUGUGUGUGUUUGUGUGUAUGAGAGUAUGUACAUGUGUUAGUUUAUCAGUGUAUAUAUGUGUGCGUCUAUCAGAAUGUAUAUGUGUAUUAGUAUGUGUGGAAACAUGGAUGCAAAAUAAG
Molecule: non-coding RNA, 360 nt
Organism: Pelobates cultripes (western spadefoot toad)
Lineage: Eukaryota; Metazoa; Chordata; Amphibia; Anura; Pelobatidae
Source: the annotation of a GenBank genome assembly